UACGAAGGGGGCUAGCGUUGUUCGGAGUUACUGGGCGUAAAGCGUGCGUAGGCGGUGUCUUAAGUUUGUUGUGAAAUCUCCCGGCUUAACCGGGAGGGUGCGGCGAAUACUGAGAUGCUGGAGUGCCGGAGAGGUAAGCGGAAUUCCUGGUGUAGCGGUGAAAUGCGUAGAUAUCAGGAGGAACACCUGCGGUGUAGACGGCUUACUGGACGGUAACUGACGCUGAGGCACGAAAGCGUGGGUAGCAAACAGG
Molecule: ribosomal RNA, 253 nt
Filed under: uncultured bacterium
Lineage: Bacteria
Description: partial 16S ribosomal RNA
Rfam family: Bacterial small subunit ribosomal RNA
Source: RNAcentral